UACGGAGGGUGCAAGCGUUAUCCGGAAUCACUGGGUUUAAAGGGUGAGUAGGCGGAGGAAUAAGUCAGAGGUGAAAUGUGCUCGCUUAACGAGUAAAUUGCCUUUGAAACUGUUUUUCUUGAAUCAAGAUGAGGUAUGCGGAAUGAGACAUGUAGCGGUGAAAUGCAUAGAGAUGUCUUAGAACACCAAUUGCGAAGGCAGCGUACUGGACUUGUAUUGACGCUGAGGCACGAAAGCGUGGGGAUCAAACAGG
Molecule: ribosomal RNA, 253 nt
Filed under: uncultured bacterium
Lineage: Bacteria
Description: partial 16S ribosomal RNA
Rfam family: Bacterial small subunit ribosomal RNA
Source: RNAcentral